This 76-nucleotide transfer RNA is filed under the name Candidatus Magnetomorum sp. HK-1. RNAcentral describes it as "tRNA-Lys". It matches the Rfam family "tRNA". Rfam says of the family: Transfer RNA (tRNA) molecules are approximately 80 nucleotides in length. Their secondary structure includes four short double-helical elements and three loops (D, anti-codon, and T loops). The record is from RNAcentral. Lineage: Bacteria; Pseudomonadati; Thermodesulfobacteriota; Desulfobacteria; Desulfobacterales; Candidatus Magnetomoraceae.
GGGCCGGUAGCUCAGUUGGUAGAGCACUGGACUUUUAAUCCAGGUGUCCUGGGUUCGAUCCCCAGCCGGCUCACCA